GCACUAGGUGUCAUACUCUUCAUGUAGUAAGGGCUCAUCGUUGCCUCUCCGGGAAUUCUUCUCUCAGAGAAACUGUCAAAUGUGUCCAAAGAUGCUUGCAGAAAGUAGCUCUCCUCCAUGCUGCCUAAGCUGCUAGCACUUAAAAGCUUUCGGUUCAAGUUUCCAUUCUCAAAACCAGAAUUGCUCUUUGCUGUGGCAUUUUGAUCAGAUGCAGCAGUAGAAUGAAUACUCGCUGUCUUUUCCAGAUCCAACCGAGCUGCUUUUUCCCUUUCAAUUUCCUGCUGUAGAAGCUCCCUGUGCAUCAGGGCAUCAUGCAACUCUUGCUUGUGUUUCUGCCUGAGUUC
Molecule: unclassified non-coding RNA, 344 nt
Filed under: Hevea brasiliensis (rubber tree)
Lineage: Eukaryota; Viridiplantae; Streptophyta; Magnoliopsida; Malpighiales; Euphorbiaceae
Source: RNAcentral